GUAGUCUCGCACAGAUGCAUAUCAAUAAGCGGAGGAAAAGAAACUAACAAGGAUUCCCCUAGUAACGGCGAGUGAAGCGGGAAGAGCUCAAAUUUGAAAUCUUAAAGGGUUUCCCUUUACGAAUUGUAGUUUAGAGAAGUGUUUUCUGUUGAGGUUUUGGUAAAAGUUCUUUGGAAUAGGACAUCAUAGAGGGUGAGAAUCCCGUAUUUGACCUUUACUUUCAACUUUGUGAUACACUUUCAAAGAGUCGGAUUGUUUGGGAAUGCAGUCCAAAAUGGGUGGUAAAUUUCAUCUAAAGCUAAAUAUUGGCGAGAGACCGAUAGCGAACAAGUACCGUGAGGGAAAGAUGAAAAGAACUUUGAAAAGAGAGUUAAACAGUACGUGAAAUUGUCAAAAGGGAAGCGUUUGACACCAGUGUUGUUUUUCUGAAAAUCAAUUAAAGAACUGUUUAUGCUAAGUUGUUUAGACUUUAUCAGCUAACUGUUUAGUUUUGAGCUUUUCUUUAAUGCACUUUUCAGUUAACAAGUCAACAUCAAUUUCUUUUGCUGUAAAAAAGCUUGAGGAAGGUGGCUUGAGAUUCGUCUUAAGUGUUUAUAGCCUCUUGCCUAUGCAGUCGGAGAGAUUGAGGUCUGCAGCGUAGAUCCUUCGGGGCUAAAUGCAUUUGUGCUAAGUUAUAGCAUUUUAUAGACAACUUGUUGACUAUGAUUUGUCUUGUAGCUUACUCGCUUAUGUUAUUUUACCUACGCUUAGGAUGUUGAUCUGUAGUGCGUGCG
This 773-nucleotide ribosomal RNA is filed under the name uncultured Neocallimastigales. RNAcentral describes it as "partial large subunit ribosomal RNA". It matches the Rfam family "Eukaryotic large subunit ribosomal RNA", at positions 24 to 646 of the family's 3401-position model. Lineage: Eukaryota; Fungi; Neocallimastigomycota; Neocallimastigomycetes; Neocallimastigales. The record is from RNAcentral.